RNAcentral lists this ribosomal RNA (111 nucleotides) under uncultured eukaryote. Its description in RNAcentral is "partial small subunit ribosomal RNA". It matches the Rfam family "Eukaryotic small subunit ribosomal RNA", at positions 1675 to 1785 of the family's 1831-position model. The record is from RNAcentral.
GUCGCUACUACCGAUUGAGUGUUUUAGUGAGGUCCUCGGAUUGAUAGCCUGGCGGUUAACGCUGCCUAGCUAACGAAAAGACGACCAAACUGUAGCACUUAGAGGAAGUAA